This 253-nucleotide ribosomal RNA is filed under the name uncultured bacterium. Its description in RNAcentral is "partial 16S ribosomal RNA". It matches the Rfam family "Bacterial small subunit ribosomal RNA", at positions 524 to 776 of the family's 1533-position model. The record is from RNAcentral.
UACAGAGGGGGCUAGCGUUGUUCGGAAUUACUGGGCGUAAAGGGCGCGUAGGCGGCCCGCUAAGUCGAACGUGAAAUCCCCGGGCUCAACCCGGGAACUGCGUCCGAUACUGGAAGGCUCGAGUGCGGGAGAGGGAUGUGGAAUUCCAGGUGUAGCGGUGAAAUGCGUAGAUAUCUGGAGGAACACCGGUGGCGAAGGCGGCAUCCUGGACCGACACUGACGCUGAGGCGCGAAAGCCAGGGGAGCAAACGGG